RNAcentral lists this ribosomal RNA (484 nucleotides) under uncultured bacterium. RNAcentral's name for it is "bacterial SSU rRNA". It matches the Rfam family "Bacterial small subunit ribosomal RNA", at positions 30 to 507 of the family's 1533-position model. The record is from RNAcentral.
AUUGAACGCUGGCGGCAUGCCUUACACAUGCAAGUCGAACGGCAGCACGGGAGCAAUCCUGGUGGCGAGUGGCGAACGGGUGAGUAAUAUAUCGGAACGUGCCCAGUCGUGGGGGAUAACGUAGCGAAAGCUACGCUAAUACCGCAUACGAUCUAUGGAUGAAAGCGGGGGAUCGCAAGACCUCGCGCGAUUGGAGCGGCCGAUAUCAGAUUAGGUAGUUGGUGAGGUAAAGGCUCACCAAGCCGACGAUCUGUAGCUGGUCUGAGAGGACGACCAGCCACACUGGGACUGAGACACGGCCCAGACUCCUACGGGAGGCAGCAGUGGGGAAUUUUGGACAAUGGGCGCAAGCCUGAUCCAGCAAUGCCGCGUGCAGGAUGAAGGCCUUCGGGUUGUAAACUGCUUUUGUACGGAACGAAACGGUGAGCUCUAAUACAGUCUGCUAAUGACGGUACCGUAAGAAUAAGCACCGGCUAACUACGUG